Molecule: long non-coding RNA, 1062 nt
Filed under: Vulpes vulpes (red fox)
Lineage: Eukaryota; Metazoa; Chordata; Mammalia; Carnivora; Canidae
Description: lncRNA (ENSVVUG00000012756.1)
Source: RNAcentral
GGCUUGAGGGCUUCAGCCGACGGCCUCCUCCUCCCUUUGGAUGACCUGGGGGAGCCGUCCUGUGUGCUCGCGGCCCUUCCCGGGCCUCCGUCCUGUCCGGGGCCGCCCGGGCUCCUUCCCCUUAACCGCAGGUGGUGCCCCUCGGCGGCGCGCGCGCUCCCUCUCCCCGUGACCCCGGUGCAAACCCGUCGGCGGCCUGCAGGGCGCGCAACGAGCAGCCCCGCGCGCCCGGGCGCUCCGGGUCCCCCGCCACCGCCCAGCCCCCGGGAGCUCCCGAAACUCGCCGCGCGAGCCUGGGGCACCGGUGGCCUCGGCGCAAGGGCGACGCGCCGGACUUUCCAGCCGCGCCCGCGACCAAGCGGCUCCCGGAACCCCGGGGCGGGGCGCCCAGGUGGAGGAGUCCGUAUCCCCCGCGCGGGGGGGGGCGCCCCAGACCAGGAGCACCCCGGAGGGAAGCCGUGUGCACCCCCGAUCCACGGACACCGCAGCCGGGGAGGAUUCCCGCCCCCCAGGCCCCCGACGGGGAGAAACCCCCGACGACGAGCGUCUCUGAUUGGAGCAUCCCAGGCCGGGACACGCCCCCUGGCCCCGCGGCGCCCCACUUGGAGCUCGGGGACGCCGAGCCGCGGCCCACCCACAGCCUCCGCGCGCCGCCGCCAGGCGCCUUUUCUUCCUUCUGACCCUCUGCACCUUGGGUUUGUUUCCCUUUCCCCAGCCUUCUCUGGUUGCCUUACGUCUUCCAUCACACCUGGGGCGCCUCUCUCUGCUUGGGGGGCGCGCAGCGCUAGGGAGACGGCGGGUCUCAGUUUCUCACCCGCCACCCGCCUUUGGGACACCUGCCUCGGCCGCCGCGACCCGAGCGCAGGGGGGACGGCCGCCCCCGCCCCCGCCCCGGCCCCGGCCCGGCCGCGGGGACUCCCCCUGAAGGUAAGGAGCGCCCCGGCUGCCAGCCGCACCCCUCCGCGCCCCCUGCGCCGCCAGCCCCGCUGGCCAGGGCCAACCCAGCCAGGGCACAGGGGUUCUGGAAACAGGAUCCUUACGGAUGCGUGCCACUAUGUGUAA